Molecule: ribosomal RNA, 253 nt
Filed under: uncultured bacterium
Lineage: Bacteria
Description: partial 16S ribosomal RNA
Rfam family: Bacterial small subunit ribosomal RNA
Source: RNAcentral
UACGUAGGGGGCAAGCGUUGUCCGGAAUCAUUGGGCGUAAAGCGCGUGUAGGCGGUCCGGAAAGUCUGGUGUGAAAACUUGAGGCUCAACCUCAAGCUGUCACUGGAUACUGUCGGACUUGAGUCUGGAAGAGGAGAGUGGAAUUCCUGGUGUAGCGGUGGAAUGCGCAGAUAUCAGGAGGAACACCAAUGGCGAAGGCAGCUCUCUGGUACAUGACUGACGCUGAGACGCGAAAGCGUGGGUAGCAAACAGG